Homo sapiens (human) is the source of this 3596-nucleotide long non-coding RNA. Ensembl annotates it as NR2F1 antisense RNA 1. Its record names the gene NR2F1-AS1. NCBI's taxonomy places the organism in Eukaryota, Metazoa, Chordata, Mammalia, Primates, Hominidae. The record is from Ensembl.
GUCGGCGACCGCUUAGUGACGAGCGAUGAUUUUAAAGAGCAGAAUAAAAGGUUUUCCCGUGCCUGCCCCACAGCCCCUCCAGCUCGAAUAAUGGAGAACUGUCAAUGCACUCCGCGAGCGGUGGCCCAUUGUACGCAGCUGAUGGCGAGGAGGCGACUGGGGGUAGCAGGGGCUCCUUGCCCUCGUCCCUAUGCCCAAAUAAACGCGCAAACGCGCUCCCGUCUUCUGGUCAGUUAAAAGGUGAAACGAACACGAUUAAAAUAGACCAAAAGAAAAGAAAGAAAAGAAAACCUUUCUAUGUACAGAUUCUAAAUCGUACUCCCCAUACAGUCAGAGGCAGGGAGUCGAGGGCAGAGGCAGCAGGCGGAGAGAGGGAGAUAGGGCGAGGGAAGGAGAACGCGGAGAGAGACGAAGGGAGUGGGAGACCAGCGACAGCGAGCGCCAGGGCACCGCAGGCACACUGGAUGCCCAGUCCGCCGGCCCAGCCGCCCUCGGACCCUGGACCGUGCGUCGUGGGCACCAGAAACGAGACUCGGCCAAAUCCUGCCUCACCAGCAGGUAGAUGAAACUCAAGAGAAAAGGUGUGGAUAAAUGAAACUAGCCCAUGAUGAACCUGUUUUCUCCGUGACCACAAUAUUAACCAGGAUGAAUGGCGGUGGCAGUGGGCCUGCAUCACAGGUUGCAGCAGAUGUUCUCAAUAUUUCUAUUAAAAUUUCCUUAUUUCCAUAUGCAAGAGGAGCCCCAGAGCUGCAUCCUUAUGGUAGCUACCAUGCCGUGAUGUAAGCUGCCAUUCACUGGGGAGCUUUGGCAAUAGAAUUGGCUAGAUCAGGAAGCCUAUGUCAACUAUGGAACAACAACUUGCAGCUCAUCUCUAUUGAUGGUGAAACAGUCGCAAAUGGAAUUCCAAGAAACAUUCUAUGUAAGUCCUGGCUUUGAAAUACUUUGUCAUCCUAAGAAGCUUGGACUUUAUCCUGUCAAAGAAAUGACAAAUCAGAUCAUUCCAGCUGCAGUAUGGAGAAUAGAGUGAAGUGGGGUAACACUGGUUUAGUGGCACAAAUUAAGCAUCUACGUAAGAGAGGAUAAUGACCUGAACUAGGGUUAAAGUAGUGGGGAUGGAGAUAAAUAGAUAGUUUGAGAGAAAUUAAGCAGAUAGAAUGACUAGGACUUGGCAGUUGACUGGAUAUGGUGGGCCUGGUGAAUGAGAGGCAGGAGUCAAGAUUGAUGGUCAGGUUUCUGACUUGGGCAGUGGGUAUAUAGUGAUGCUUGUACGAAGAUUGAGAAAGUAAAAGGGAAAGUAAAUAUCAAGCAGUUUCAAGCAGCAGUCAGCUGCUGGGCUGGCUCACCACACUUCUGUAGAUUCCGUUGAAAAGGAGACAAUGAGCCUAGAUAGAUUUAGACAGUUUAUUACUCAAAGCAAAGUAGGCAGCAUGAUCUUCAUGCAUCUAUGAAUUCCCCAAAUCCCAUGAUACAGAGUGAGGCCCAGACAGAUGCUGUGUACACGGUGGACCUGUGUCCUCCCAAUCUUAUAAGAGGCUACUUGCAAACUUGCCCAAAAUCAUUGUCCUGGAGGUUGACAUUAUCUUUGUUAUGCUGGUCAGGAAACAAAUGUACCCUCUAACCCAGAAGCAUAUCCUGUCUUUACUCAGAGACAAAUAAAAACACCAUGGACAAUUACCUUUCAACAGUAAGAGAAUGCUUUCCAUUUUGGACAUAAUGAAUUUGAAAUGCCCAUGAUAUCUAAAUAAAGGUAUUCAGUAGAUAAUAAGCUGUUUUGAAGGAAUAUUUGGUAUAGUGUUUAUAGAAAUGAGAUAAUAAAACAAUAAAAUAUAUAAACUUUGGCUAUGUUAAUAACGUGAUAGUUGCUUGUAAGAUAGUUACAGCAGGUGGUUACUGUGUUGCCUAAUUAAACAUCAUGAUAGAAUCUUAAUAUGUGUAAAAUUUAUAAUUUUAUUCAUCACAAACUGAAUUCACCUAGGCUUAGUCCUCUGCUGCUUUUGAGGUUUGAUGAUCUGCUAACAAUCUCAGAAAAUGAGAGAGUUGUGUGGUGGCAGUAUAUUUAUAACACACUAUGGAACUGGCCUUAUAACUGUGACUUUUGCCUGCUUUUAGUCCAGACCAGCCCUCUUCAAUAGAAAUAAGAUAAAUGCAAACAUCAAAUGUGAGCCACAUACAUAAUUUAAAAAUUUCUAGUAGCCACAUUAAAAAACCUAAAAGGAAGCAAGUGAAAUUAAUUUUUAUAAUAUACUUUAACCCAAUAUAUCGAAAUAUUGUUUCAACAUGUAAUCAACAUAAAAUUAUUAGUGAGAUAUUUUACAUUUUUUUCAUGCUAAAUCUUUGAAAUCCGGUGUGUAUCUUACAUUUACGGCUUAUCUCAAUUUGGACUUGACACAUUGCAAGUGCUCAAUAGCUAUGUGUAGCUAUUGACUACUAUUUUGGACAGUGCAAUUCUAGACCUCAAGAACAAGAAGUUAUAUUUUAUCAUGUAUGAUGAAUAUAGUUUUUCUUUGUAUGUUAGAGGACUAAAUACUGUGGUAUGUUUUUUAUCUUAAACAAUUGAAUACCAAGAAUAGCUAACAUUAUAAUGAAAAAACAAAUGGUCAGUGAAUUUACAUGGUAUUUAAUUUUUUUUUUUUUUUGGAGAUAAUGAGUUUCACUUAAAAUCAGCUAGGUAUUACUGUGUCUAAUAUAGGCAUCUUGGAAGGUAAAUUAGGGCUGUAGGUUGUAUCAUUAGGUCCUUGAGUGUAAACCUCUCCAGGAUUUCACUAAGUGGACCAGGUAGUCAGGUGAUUUAAAUUAUAAUUAAUGUUCAUCCUUUACCCUUGGGAAUAUAUUACGUGUUGGUAGAAUUUGUUCCAUUAUUUUAUAUAAUGAGGUGCCUCAUAAUUUUGUGGCUUGUGAACAAAUGUUCACAUUUGUGAACUUAUUUACCAUGUUGACAAAUGUAUUGGCUUUAUAGUACAGAAGCAUCUCAAAAACCUAAAAGAUUUCUGUUAAGUAAUUUAAUGAAAAACAGACAUUGAUGGGAAAAGUCAGCCAUCCUAGUGCCCUCAAUACAGCAGUUGGAAAUAAUAUACUUUUGAAUGUCUGAAAUAUGUUAGUGGUUUUAGAAAAAGACUAGGUAAGUCAUUUGAGAAACUUAAGAAGACCUAAGAAACUGGCAAUACAUGGUAAUAGCUUACUGAGUUUGCUUUGGGUAAACUCAGUAAGUCAUGGAACUUGCUAUGCAUUUUGGUGGGGAUACCUUUAAUUCUAAUUGGUGAAAUGCAGUCACUUUGAAUUGUAUGUUGAGGGAAUGUUCUCAGGGAAAAGUGAGUUUCUGUGUUGAAUGACUAAGUGAAAGCACUUGACUAUUUGUAAAGCCUGUGGGUAUCUCUUUGAUGUUGAUUAUUAUCUGUGAUUGUUUGUUGAGGGUUUUCUGUUUGUUUUUUAAAACACUUGGGAAAAGCAAAUGGUGAGUGUUACAAUUUAAACAGAUUUUCUUUUAGAGAAUGUUCUGUAGGAAAAGACAAAUAGUUCUACUUGAUCCUUGUUUGUUGAUGCUUUUAUUUGAUUUCAUAUUUAUUGAUACAAACAGCUUUAAACAUUAGAUUAAUUCU